Molecule: transfer RNA, 68 nt
Filed under: marine eukaryotic metagenome
Rfam family: tRNA
About the family: Transfer RNA (tRNA) molecules are approximately 80 nucleotides in length. Their secondary structure includes four short double-helical elements and three loops (D, anti-codon, and T loops).
Source: RNAcentral
GGGCGUAGCUUAGCUGGUAGAGCGCCACCUUGCCAAGGUGGAGGUCGUGAGUUCGAAUCUCAUCGCCC